This is a non-coding RNA of Pimephales promelas (fathead minnow), 1006 nucleotides long. NCBI's taxonomy places the organism in Eukaryota, Metazoa, Chordata, Actinopteri, Cypriniformes, Leuciscidae. The record is from RefSeq and is a predicted model, not a curated record.
GAAUAGUUUAUAAUUGUUCCUCAUGUUUCAUCUGUAAUCUGUGUAGGCUAUAUGAGGAAAUAUGUGCAUGCCUUAUGUAGGUUUUAAUCAAUGUUUUUGCAAAAAAAAACAAAAAAAAAAACAAUCUACAGCACGUUUACCAUUUUUUAAAGCUAUAUUAUAUUAUUAGACUAUUAGCCUACAUGACUUAAAACAUUGUUUUAUAGUUUGACGAUGGCCACAGGCCUACUAUCCACUUAAUAAUGCAUCAAGUUUCAGCUGAUUGUCAAAUAAUUCACUCCAUCUCAAUGCUGCGUAACUCUGCGUGUUUUAAUCAAUGGGCGCACGCGCUGAACAUUCGAGCCGCAUUUGAACUGGAGCAGACAACGUUACCAUGGAAACCGGGCGGUAGCUCAACUGACAACGAUCAGCACAGCUCCAUCUCUCGCUGUUGUUUUCACUACUUUCAGUAUUGUUAGCUCCAACCCCAAUUAAUCAGACCUGAGCAGCUGACUAAACAUCACCAGAAACUCUGCAGAACACUGGCCCUGGUCUGGUCUGGAUGCCACUGUUGCUAAAGCAUUUCAAGUAAAAACUUAAGUCGUGGCUUAAUAAUCCGGGGUUGGGAUGGUGGAAGGAGCAGAAGAACCAGAAGAUCGGAGAUCAGGAAGAUAUCUGUUGGUGCCUCUGAGGGAACUGAUUUAAUGUGUAGAAUUUAACCAAAAAUGUUCGUCACUCACCUUCAUGUCGUUGCAAACCUGUAAGACUUUCGUUCAUCUUUGAAAGAUAUUUUUAAUGAAAUCUGAGAGGUUUCUGUCCCUCAAUUUCACAGUUUAUGCAACUACCACUUUCAAGCUUCAGAAACGUAAGACAUUAUAAAAAUAAUCAAUAGAGGGUUUGCACCCACGUCACGAUUUGGCCAGUUACCCGGAUGCGCGGCUAUAUUCGAGAUACUCGGAUGUAAACAACAGCAUUGAUUGCACUGUUUAUGUACUACUGAACACAUUGUUACACUAAUUUAUGAUGU